AGCGAACGCUGGCGGCAGGCCUAACACAUGCAAGUCGAACGGAAACUUCGGGGUUAGUGGCGGACGGGUGAGUACCAAGUGGGAACGAGCAUUUAGGUAAGGUAUCCCUCAUGGUAAGGGGAGGUCAUGAAGCUUGUGCUAAUCCGGGGUAAGAUCUAUCGCUUUUUGAGCGGCGCGCGUCUGAUUCGCCAGUUGGUGAGGUAACGGCUCAUCAAGGCGAUGUUCAGUGGCUGGUCUGAGAGCAUGACCAGCCACACUGGGACUGAGGCACGGCCCAGUCUGCGACGGGAGGCAGCAGUGUGGAAUCCUGCGCAAGGGGCGAAAGCCUGACGAAGCCAUGCCGCGGGAAUGAGGAAUGGCUUAGGAUUGCAAAAUUCUUUCACCGGGGGCGAGAAUGACGGUACCCGGAGAAGAAGCCCCGGCUAACUACGUG
Molecule: ribosomal RNA, 433 nt
Filed under: uncultured bacterium
Lineage: Bacteria
Description: partial 16S ribosomal RNA
Rfam family: Bacterial small subunit ribosomal RNA
Source: RNAcentral